ACGAACGCUGGCGGCAUGCCUAACACCUGCCAGUCGCACGAGACCUUCGGGUCUAGUGGCGCACGGGUGCGUAACGCUUGGGAACCUGCCCUUAGGUUCGGAAUAACUCCCCGAAAGGGGUGCUAAUACCGGAUAAUGUCUUCGGACCAAAGGUUUAUCGCCUUUGGAUGGGCCCGCGUUGGAUUAGCUAGUUGGUAGGGUAAAAGCCUACCAAGGCGACGAUCCAUAGCUGGUCUGAGAGGAUGAUCAGCCACACUGGGACUGAGACACGGCCCAGACUCCUACGGGAGGGAGCAGUGGGGAAUAUUGGAAAAGGGGCGAAAGCCUGAUCAAGCAAUGCCGCGUGAGUGAUGAAGGCCUUAGGGUUGUAAAGCUCUUUUACCCGGGAUGAUAAUGACAGUACCGGGAGAAUAAGCUCCGGCUAACUCCGUG
RNAcentral lists this ribosomal RNA (432 nucleotides) under uncultured bacterium. RNAcentral describes it as "partial 16S ribosomal RNA". It matches the Rfam family "Bacterial small subunit ribosomal RNA", at positions 29 to 507 of the family's 1533-position model. The record is from RNAcentral.